UCAACUGUUAGAAAAAAGUAGAAAUGAACUAAGCCCUCCCAGCUAACAAGAUAAAGAAAUCGCCUGCAGGAAAGAUAGUUGGACACCAGAUUGACAGAAGUGUUGCAAAAUUCAACAACUCCAUGGAGUUGAGGACACAUUUCAAAGGGGAAAAGAAGACACAACCAUAACUACAGUUACCAAGUGUACCAGGACCCCUACUUUCCAGAAUAGCUUCCAGACUAAGUAUUUAUUCAAAGAUGUGUCACACUUUGAAUAAAACACACUUUGUGUGUUCAAAGAUGAACACACUUAGGGACAGGAGGUUAGA
Lemur catta (Ring-tailed lemur) is the source of this 310-nucleotide long non-coding RNA. RefSeq lists it as uncharacterized. The record is from RefSeq and is a predicted model, not a curated record. The transcript is spliced from 3 exons. Lineage: Eukaryota; Metazoa; Chordata; Mammalia; Primates; Lemuridae.